This 866-nucleotide long non-coding RNA is filed under the name Brassica napus (rape). RNAcentral's name for it is "long non-coding RNA (BNAP_LNC018945)". Lineage: Eukaryota; Viridiplantae; Streptophyta; Magnoliopsida; Brassicales; Brassicaceae. The record is from RNAcentral.
AGCAUAUUCACAUAUGAAAGAGCCAGCACGAAUGGGAUCCCAAGAACGUAAACCCCAACCACGGUUCGCCGUCUUAAACACUUCCAUGCGGAACUUAAGUCCUGUCUGAAUCACUUUGUUUUUGCAACUGGGGUUACACGGACAGGUUGAACCACAUUCAUAUACCAUUGGCCUCCUGGAAACAAGCAUAACGCCAUUAAGGUAAGGAAGAUCACCACCAUUCAUUCUGAUGCAAGAGCAAUUUAGAUCUCCCGGCGCACACAAGCCACGGCAGGAGCAACCAGUUGCUGUGUGCUGCUGGGUUAUUCUAAAGGCUUCCGAGUGUUUGAGAGUGGAGAUGUAAGUGAAAUAAGAAGGCCCCUUCUCAUCAUCAAAGUCAUUCACAAGCGAGACAGGUUUGCUCUCAACACCUGAAGUGAUAUCCGGAAGGAACACUUCCAUGCGGAACUUAAGUCCUGUCUGAAUCACUUUGUUUUUGCAACUGGGGUUACACGGACAGGUUGAACCACAUUCAUAUACCAUUGGCCUCCUGGAAACAAGCAUAACGCCAUUAAGGUAAGGAAGAUCACCACCAUUCAUUCUGAUGCAAGAGCAAUUUAGAUCUCCCGGCGCACACAAGCCACGGCAGGAGCAACCAGUUGCUGUGUGCUGCUGGGUUAUUCUAAAGGCUUCCGAGUGUUUGAGAGUGGAGAUGUAAGUGAAAUAAGAAGGCCCCUUCUCAUCAUCAAAGUCAUUCACAAGCGAGACAGGUUUGCUCUCAACACCUGAAGUGAUAUCCGGAAGGAUAAGUCCUCUUCUUGGAGUCAUCAAACCUUCUUUCCACUUAUGAACAGCUUUCCAGAACCCAAAAGCAGGUGGCUGACCAG